UUAGAUUUUACAAAAAUGAAAUUAUAUUAUUCAUUUCCUUUUUUUUAAUUUUAAAUUCAUUCUCUUGUAACCUUUCACAAUAUCAUGUCAAGUGCUAGUCCCAUAAAGGAAUGUUGUGAGUGUGGGAAAGUAUUUGUAUACACCCAUUACAUUUUAUUUUUCUAAUUUCGCAAAAGCAAAACAACACAAGACUUCUCAACAGGCCUCAUGUAGGAGUGCGUGUGCGCACGCAAGCAUACAUACAUUGUCUAGUAGGGGCGCUCGUCCUCGGGCUGGUACAUGGGAUCGUAGCUGCAAACCACAUAGUUCUGUCCAUUGUUGCACUUUGAAAUGCCACAUCCGACCUCGGUGGUUUUGCCCCAUACCACAGCAAGGUAGUGACCACAUUCGUCUCUGACGCAUUUGUUGGACUUUUCGUCAUAGAACUCCUUCUCAGUGACCCAAUACUUGGUGGCCGCUGCGCCACUCAUGCCGUCACCGGAGGCCAAGUUCUCACCCCAACGCCCCAUCGAGUGCUCCAUGGCACAGUCGCCAACUCUUUUAUCCGCAUAUUCUUGGGCAUACUGGGCCAAGGUCGUAUUCCACUUGAGGGGUUUGUUGCCGACCUCUUUACGAGCCUUGUUGUGCUCCUCGACGAAGCCAUCGAUCUCUUCUUUAGAAAUGUUUGCAAAUACAAGAGUGAAGACCAAGGCGACGCAGCAAAUGGCCAAAAGAAGCUUCGUGUUGAACGCCAUUUUUGUUUCUUGAUAUGAGAAGUUUAAGGUCUUUUCUUUGUAGUAGAGAAGGUUGGAUUGUUAGAUGUUGAUUGAAAGGGGGCAUGGGAUUGUGCAUAUUUAUAGAGACACAGGCAAGUUUGUGUCCGCAAAGAGGGUCUUCGAAAAUAGGCCCUUAAAAAUGGGAGGGCUGAAUAUUAUUUUUUUGGAUUCUAUAGAUUGCCAUAGAGGAGGGGCCAAAUAAAGAAAAGAAAGAAGAGAUCCAUAGAAAUUUGUGGUGUCAAAUCUUUUGGGCUUGGAAUGCGUCCACACCAAGUUUUACUCACAAUAAGGAGGGAAGACAAUUUCUUGGGUGAGUUUCCUUUUUUUUUUUCCCUUAAAAAAGUAAGUUCUUCUUUUCUGUUUUUCUUUUCUUUUCUUCUUUUCAGCUGAACUAGUUUUUUUUUCUUUCUUUUUCUUUUUCGAAUGGAUAAGAUUGAAAGAAGAAUUAACAGGGUAGAACACUAUUGGGUGUCGUGAGUAAUAUGUCUUUUGUUUUUCCUUCAGUUGUGUCUGUUUUUCCUCAUGACUUAGUUGGCCUCCUUUCUCCGUUUUUGGUGUCACGCGUUUCUAAUUUAGCCAUAUUCUUUUUUAUAAGAAUUCACUCGUGUUUUUUUUUUCCCUAAUGAACAAUCUCAUGUUAUAAUGUACGUUUAUUUAUUAAUAUUAUAUCAUCGGAUGCAAAGGAUUUGUAACUCAAAUAAUUUAGAGGUCCUAAGUUCGAUUCGACCUUCCCUCAAUAUGACUUGUAUAAAUAAAAAAUAAAAAAAUAAAUAUCAUAAGAUAUAAAUUUGUUGUCCACUUACAUCAAUUUCUAAUGUUACAGUGACCAAAAAAAAAAAAAAACACUUUCUUCAAUUUUUUAUAAUCUUAAUGGUUUUUUGAGUUACUUGUGUCUCUACUAGUGAACUGUUACUUUUUUUUCUUUUUCUUUUUUAUAGAAAUAUCGGCUCCAAAAUCUCUACCCUCGUCAAAGCUAUUGCACAUAUUUAGUUUUCGUGACCAAUCUAUUUCGUCACCCAUUCUGAAAAUAACCAAACCAACUAACAUAUUCGACAAAUAAACUACAUCUUUCACGACCAUAACAUUCAUUGCUGAAAUGUUCUGGCGACCAAACAUUUAUUUCAUCGCCAAAUAAUUCCAUGUUCACGGGAAUUUUUGGUAUUUUGGCAGCAACUCAGACUCGAUGGCGACCAACUUGGAGCUGUAUAGUGACGACAAAUUUAGUCGCUAAAAUAUUUUAGCGACAAAAUUUUGUUUCGUCACAUGGUAUCUUUAGCCACGAGCUUUCAACGACGACCUUAGAGACCAAAAAUAUUUGUCGCUACUUAUAUUUGGCGACGAAAUUUGGUGUUAUAGUGACCAUCUUGUUUCGUCACUAAAAAGGAUUAUCCUUGUAGUGGUUCUUUCUUUCUGGAAGCUGAUAAAUAAACUCUGUGCCUUUUGAAAUCAAAUUAUCAUGGGAUAUUUCAUUAGUGUUAUUAGUUUUAGGGAAAUAUGUUACUUGAAUUACUUUCUCAGCAAGUGAUUGGUGGGGGCAAAAACUCAUAAAACGGUUCAAUUUCCUCCUCCUGAGUUUGACAGCGUGGAGACAACUAAUUAUUUUCCUCUGGCGACCAGUUGCUGUCUAUUGGCAAUCGGUCGCUGUCUAUUGGCGACCGGUCGUUUUGAAGCAUGUUUUUCGUGUUUGAAGAACUAAGGGGGGAGACCGGUCGCUUUCCACUGGCAACCAGUCGUUUUGAAGCUGAGUGACAUCCUAUGGAAAAAAAUCAAAAAUUUGAGGAGGGGUGGAUUCUCGAUUCUCCUCUUGUACUGCUGAAAAAUAUAAGACAUGUUCCCGAAACACAACAUCCAUAGAGGUAUAGACCUUCUGACUAGGAGGAUGAUAACACCAGUAUCAUUCCUUAUGAGGUGCAUAGCCAAUGAAACCACACUUUUCAGCUCGGUGAUCCAAUUUGCUUCAUUAAUGAUCAUGUAAGUGGACAAAUACAACAUAGACGAAAUUCGGGGUUCCAGGUUUGGGGUGGGAGGUAUUUGGAUAUGGUAGUGUUUGAAGUGGCGUUUGAAAAUUUAGGAUACUAGAGGGAAUUUGAUUGAUGAGGUAUGCCACAGAGACGAUGGCUUCACCCCAAAAAGGUCGUGGCAUAUUGGCACCAAAGAGAGAGGCACGAACUACUUCUAAUAAUUGUAUGUUCUUUCUUUCAACCACUUCAUUUUGUUGAGAAGUGUAGGGGCAUGAGCGUUGAUGUAUGAUGUCAUGAUCUUGUAAGAACUGGUUAAGAGCAUGGUUGAGAAAUUCUCCGUCAUUCUCAUAACGAAGAACAUGAAUUAUGGCAUGAAACUGAGUCCCCACCAUUUGAUGGAACCGUUGAAACUUGGAACUGACUUCCCCUUUAGUUUUGAGAAUGGAAACCUAAAUCAUGCUUGUGCAAUCAUCUACAAACGUAACAAACCAUCGAGCUCCUGCCGGGGUGGCAAUUUUGGCAGGUUCACAAACAUCAGAAUGAACAAGAGAAAAUGGAACUAAACUCUUAUUUGAACUUAAUGGGAACGGGACAUGAUGGCUCUUAGCCAAUUCACACAUAUCACACUGGAAGCUAGAAACAUCAAGACUGUAAAAUAAUGAUCAAAACAACUUCUUAUGAUAACCGAACAAGGCAUGCACAAGACGUUUAUGUCAUAACCAAACUUUACCUCUCUCCCCUUUAGAACAAGUUCCAAUGGUUGUGAAAGCUUGACCAACCUUGGUCUCACUAUACGAUGCCCAUUCUAAGUAGUAGAGUUUGCCCCGCUGAGUACCACAACCAAUCAUCUUUCCCAGGAAGAUGUCCUGAAAAACACAAUGAUUCAGCCAAAAUGUUACAGUACACCCCAAAGUAGUAGUAAGUUGUGCAACAGACAACAAGUUAUGGUCCAAAGAUGGAACAAUCAAUACAGAAUCCAGAUGUAGGAAAGUAGAGAGAGAUAGAAAACCCUCAUCAACCACAGAGGAUGGGGUACCAUUAGCAUUUGACACCACCGACAGAGUGGAUGAUUUUCGACUAAUAAGUUGGCCAGGAUCAAAUGUCAUGUGAUCCGUAGCACCCGAGUUUGCUGAUUUUUUAGAGGACGUAUGAAAAGUAGAACCUUUGGUGGUGCGAUAGAAGCACGAGUUCGAGUAGCCGAGUCAGCAGGAGUGACCGCAUGCUUCUGUGAGUCUGCAAUAAGGGAGAAAAUAGUAAGGGGUCCUAACAUCGCAGUGGAAGUAAUAUGUGAUAUGAGUAUGUGAGGAAUUUGAUUGGAGGAAUGUGAUUGGAGGAAUUUGAUGUGUGAAUUUGAUGUAGAAAUUAGAUUUGAGAGGUAUGUGUUUGGGGAUUUUGAUAAGAGGAUUUGAGGACUUUAGAUUUGAGGGAUUUGGAUUUCGAGAAUUUAAAUAUGAGGAAUUUGAUUUAGGGUUUUGGAUUUGAAUAUGAGAAAUUUGAUGUAAGGGUUUAGAGACAACUUAUGAUCGAUUGCUCUGAUACCAUGCUAAAAUAUAAAUAUGGUUUGAAUACUUUAGGUUAAGUUUUAUUCUUCUCCGUAAAUAGGUAUAUAUAGGAGUUUACAUGAGUGCUUUACAAGAAAUAGAUACAGUAAUCAAGUAGAAUACUAUCUCGUAAUUAUACAAUCAUUUGUCAAUUAUAUAAAAUAAAAAAGUAAAUCCCUUAUUUAAUCAAGGAAAUAAAUUUCUUUGAUUAAUUAACAGACUCGCGUCAACAAAGACUGUGGUGCUACUCUUCUAGUAUAAAAUUUUGAUAUAUUUCUAUAAAAUUUGGUCUCGUUUCAAACAAAAAAAAAAAGAAGGGUAGAUUUUGUUUCCAAAGGUAAGAAAUUUUUUUAAUUUUUUUAAAUUCAAGAUAAAAUUAAAAAUUAAAAAUUAAAAAAAAACUCCAUCCUUGAAAUUUGAAUCAGGAAGUCUUUAACAAGUAAAAAUUAUACAAGCGAUUGUUUAAAUUAAGGAUCUUAAUAUAAUUUACGAAAAGCGACGAUGACACAUUAGCAUAUUACCACGGAAUGAGCAUACAAUGCGUUAUAAGUACUCAAUAUAAACUUUCUUAGCGCUGAAUUUUUUUUAAUUUUUCUCAAUAGAGUAAAAACGAACAUCAGAGCUAGAAAGGGUCAUCACAUCAAUAGUACAUUUGUUCACCACGUGAUGUUUUUCUCAACUUCAUCAGCUUGAUCAAAUGCCUUCCAAUUCUAGUAGGGACGCUCGCCCUCAUAAUUACCAGGAGGAUCGUAGCUGCAAAUGACAAAAACCCAAUUGUUGUCACACUUAGCCCUAGCACAACCAAGAUGAACCGAGUUCCUCUAAACCACCUGAGUAUAAUGCCCACAUUCAUCCCCAACACAUUUGUUGGAACCGUAGUUAGCAGCUGGAUUUUUUUCUUUCUUAGAGCAUUUUUACCCAUUUAUCAUGGUAAAAGUCUAGGGGAGACAAGGGCAAUUACUCUUCACGUGAAUAGUAUCUGCCCUAGCAAUUUUUUUGUUGUUUUUCCACCCAUUGUCAUGGCAAUCGAAGGACAAUUAGUAUUCACUUGAGAUUACUUUAAUUUGUAUGUAUGAGAUUAAUAAUAUAAAAAAAUCUAGGUAUGUAUAAAAAAAUAAUAUAUUCUCAAUUUUUUGUAAUUUUUCAAAAAAAAUUUUAGGCAACAACUCGAGUUGUUCUUGCUUGCUGGGCUUGAUUGAGUCCACGCCUUGCCUGGGUUGUUUUGUACCACUUGAGGAGCAUUUCUUGGCCUGGGCAACCUUUUGACAGGGUUGGACUUAUUUUAUUUGAAAUAAUAGUGGGCUACGGUAUUUUAGGAAUAAUGCUGGGUGAAAAGAUAGGAUUGUGUUUUAUCAAAUUUACAUGGUGGGAGGGAAGAUAAGGUGGGUGGGGAAAUAGUGUGAGAAUGUGAAGGUAAAAAGUCUCACAUUGGAAAGUUAGAAAACUUUGCAAUGGCUUAUAAGGAGUUGGGUUACUCUCCCAAUUUCCAAUUAGUUUUGGGGUGGAACCUCAACUUUCUUCAUGGCAUCAGAGCAAGUUGACCACGUGUUAAAGCCCAAUGACCACAUGAGCUCCAUGUCACCCAAAAUGUUUUGUGCACGUGUUAGGCUUGAAAAUUGGCCACACGAGUGGGGGCGUGCGAGAAUGUGAAGGUAAAAAGUCCCACAUUAGAAAGUUAAAAAACCUUGCAAAGGCUUAUAAGGAUUUGGAUUACUUCUCCCAUUGCAAAUUGGUUUUAUGGUGGAAUCUCAACUUCCUUCAAAUAGGACAGGGAGGUGAAAAUAGUAGCACUCAAAAAAAAAAUAUGUACGGUUAUUUAGCCUUAAUAAUGGAUAAUUAGUUCUUUAUUAAAAUUUUGGAUAAACCAAUUAGAAUUUUGUCUAGUUGUAUUUUCAAAAAAAGAGAGAUUGACUAACAAAAAAAAAACACAUUAAGAGAAUGAGAUAAUAUUUCGGUUAGAUUUUACGAAAAUGAAAUUAUAUUAUUCUUUUCUUUUUUUUGUAUUUAUUAUUCAUUCUCUUGUAACCUUUCACAAUAUCAUGUCAAGUGCUAGCUAGUCACAUAAAGGAAUGUUGUGAGUGUGGGAAAGUAUUUGUAUACACCCAUUACAUUUUAUUUUUCUAAUUUCACAAAAGAAAAAAAACACAAGACUUCUCAACAAGCCUCAUGUAGGUGUGCGUGUGCGCACGCAAGCAUACAUACAUUGUCUAGUAGGGGCGCUCGUCCUCGGGCUGGUACAUGGGAUCGUAGCUGCAAACCACAUAGUUCUGUCCAUUGUUGCACUUUGAAAUGCCACAUCCAACCUCGGUGGUUUUGCCCCAUACCACAGCAAGGUAGUGACCACAUUCGUCUUUGACGCAUUUGUUGGACUUUUCGUCAUAGAACUCCUUCUCGGUGACCCAAUACUUGGUGGCAGCUGCGCCGCUCAUGCCGUCACCAGAGGCCAAGUUCUCACCCCAACGCCCCAUCGAGUGCUCCAUGGCGCAGUCGCCAACUCUUUUAUCCGCAUAUUCUUGGGCAUACUGGGCCAAGGUCGUGUUCCAAUUGAGGGGUUUGUUGCCGACCUCUUUACGAGCCUUGUUGUGCUCCUCGACGAAGCCAUCGAUCUCUUCUUUAGAAAUGUUUGCAAAGACAAGAGUGAAGACCAAUGCGACGCAGCAAAUGGCCAAAAGAAGCUUCGUGUUGAACGCCAUUUUUGUUUUUUGAUAUGAGAAGUUUAAGGUCUUUUCUUUGUAGUAGAGAAGGUUGGAUUGUUAGAUGUUGAUUGAAAGGGGGCAUGGGAUUGUGCAUAUUUAUAGAGACACAGGCAAGUUUGUGUCCGCAAAGAGGGUCUUCGAAAAUAGGCCCUUAAAAAUGGGAGGGCUGAAUAUUAGUUUUUUGGAUUCUAUAGAUUGCUGUAGAGGCGGGGCCAAAUAAAGAAAAGAAAGAAGAGAUCCAUAGAAAUUUGUGGUGUCACAUCUUUUGUGCUUGGAAUGCGUCCACACCAAGUUUUACUCACAAUAAGGAGGGAAGACAAUUUCUUUGGUGAGUUUCCUUUUUUUUUUCCCCUUAAAAAAGUAAGUUCUUCUUUUCUGUUCUUCUUUUCUGUUCUUCUUUUCUUUUCUUCUUUCAGGUGAACUAUUUUUUUUUUUUUUUCUUGUUCUUUUUCUAAAGGAUAAGAUGGAAACAAGAAGUAACGAGGUAGAACAUUAUUGGGUGUCUUGAGUAAUAUGUCUUUUGUUUUUCCUUCAGUUGUGUCUGUUUUUCCUCAUGACUUAGUUGGCCUCCUUUCUCCUAUGCGUCUAUAUGCUAUUGUUUAAACCUGUCUUCUGGUCCUAAUCCCCUUUGUUCACUAAAAUAACUGAUAAGGAAAAUCACCAUACUCUAGUUUUUGGUGUCACACGUUUCAAAUUUAGCCAUAUUCUUUUUUAUAAGAAUUCACUCUUUUUUUUCUUUUCUUUUUUUCUAAUGAACAAUCUCAUGUUAUAAUGUGCGUUUAUUUAUUAAUAUUAUAUCAUCGGAUGCAAUGGAUUUUUAACUCAAAUAGUUAAGAGGUCCUAAGUUCGAUUCCACCCUCCCUCAAUAUGACUUGUAUAAAAAAUAAAAAUAAAAAUUAUAUCAUCAGAUAUAAAUUUGUUGUCCACUUACAUCAAUUUCUAAUGUUACAGUGACCAAAAAAAAAAAACUUUCUUCAAUUUUUUAUUAUCUUAAUGGUUUUUUGAGUUACUUGUGUCUCUACUAGUGAACUGUUACUUUUUUUUCUUUUUCUUUUUUAUAGAAAUAUUGGCUCCAAAAUCUCUGCCCUCGUCAAAGCUAUUGCACAUCUUCAGUUUUGGCGACCAAUCUAUUUCGUCGCCCAUUCUGAAAAUAACCAAACCAGCUAACAUAUGCGACAAAUAAACUACAUCUUUCACGACCAUAACAUUCAUCGCUGAAAUGUUCAGGCGACCAAACAUUUAUUUCGUCGCCAAAUAAUUUCAUGUUUGCGGGAAUUUUUGGUAUUUUGGCAGCAACUCACUCUCAAUGGCAACCAACUUGGAGCUGUGUAGUGAAGACAAAUUUAGUCGCUAAAAUAUUUUCAGCGACAAAAUUUUGUUUCGUCGCAUGGUAUCUUUAGCCCCGAGCUUUCAACGAUGACCUUAGAGACCAAAAAUAUUCGUCGCUACUUAUAUUUGGCGAUUAAAUUUGGUGUUAUAGUGACCAUCUUGUUUCGUCACUAAAAGGGAUUAUCCUUGUAGUGCUUCUUUCUUUCUAGAAGCUGAUAAAUAGACUCUGUGCCUUCUAAAAUCAAAUUAUCAUGGGAUAUUUCAUUAGUGUUAUGAAUUUUAGGAAAAGAUGUUACUUGAAUGACUUUCUCAGCAGGUGAUUGGUGGGGGCAAAAACUCAUAAAACGGUUCAAUUUCCUCCUCCUGAGUUUGACAGCGUGGAGAUAACUAAUUAUUUUCCUCUGGCGACCAGUCGCUGUCUAUUGGCAAUCGGUCGCUGUCUAUUGGCGACCGGUCAUUUUGAAGCAUGUUUUCCGUGUUUGAAGAACUAAGGGGGGGACCGGUCGCUUUCCACUGGCGACUAGUCGUUUUGAAGCUGAGUGACAUCCUGUGGAAAAAAAUCAAAAAUUUGAGGAGGGGUGGAUUCUCGAUUCUCCUCUUGUGCCGCUGAAAAAUAUAAGACAUGUUCCCGAAACACAACAUCCAUAGAGGUAUAGACCUUCUAACUAGGAGGAUGAUAACACCUGUAUCUUUUCUUAUGAGUGCAUAGCCAAUGAAACCACACUUUUCAGCUCGGUGAUCCAAUUUGCUUCGUUGGUGAUCAUGUAAGUGGACAAAUACAACAUAGCCGAAAUUCGGGGUUCCAGGUUUGGGGUGGGAGGUAUUUGGAUAUGGUAGUGUUUGAAGUGGCGUUUGAAAAUUUAGGAUACUAAAGGGAAUUCGAUUGAUAAGGUAUGCUACAGAGACGAUGGCUUCGCCCCAAAAAGAUCGUGGCAUAUUGGCACCGAAGAAAGAGGCACGAACUACUUCUAAUAAUUGUAUGUUCUUUCUUUCAACCACUUCAUUCUGUUGAGGAGUGUAAGGGCAUGAGCGUUGAUGUAUGAUGCCAUGAUCUUGUAAGAACUGGUUAAGAGCAUGGUUGAGAAAUUCUCCGCCAUUUUCAUAAAGAACAUGAAUUAUGGCAUGAAACUGAGUCUCCACCAUUUGAUGGAACCGUUGAAACUUAGAACUGACUUCCCUUUUAGUUUUGAGAAUGGAAACCUAAGUCAUGCUUGUGCAAUCAUCUACAAACGUAACAAACCAUCGAGCUCCUGCCGAGGUGGCAAUUUUAGCAGGUCCAUAAACAUCAGAAUGAACAAGAGAAAAUGGAAUUAAACUCUUGUUUGAACUUAAUAGGAACGGGAACACGAUGGCUCUUAGCCAAUUCACAAGUAUCACACUGGAAGCUAGAAACAUCAAGACUGUAAAAUAAUGAUGGAAACAACUUCUUAUGAUAACCGAACAAGACAUGCACAAGAUGUUUAUGCCAUAACCAAACUUUACCUACCUCCCCUUCAGAACAAGUUCCACGUGUUGUGAAAGCUUGACCAACCUUGGUCUUAACAUACGGUGCCAGUCUAAGUUGUAGAGUUUGCCCCGCCGAGUACCACAACUAAUCGUCUUUCCCAUGAGGACGUCCUGAAAAACACAAUGAUUCGCCAACAUGUUACAAUACACCACAAAGUAGUAGGAAGUUGUGCAACAGACAACAAGUUAUGGUCCAAAGAUGGAACAAUCAAUACAGAAUUCAGAUAUAGGGAAGUAGAGAGAGAUAGAGAGCCCUCCUCAACCACAGGGGAGGGGGUACCAUUAGCAUCAUCCACCAAGUUGGCCAGGAUCAAAUGUCAUGUGAUUCGUACCCGAGUUUGCGGAUUUUUUAGAGGACGUAUGAAAACUAGAACCUUUGGUGGUGCGAUAGAAGCACGAGUCCUAGUAGCCGAGUCAGUAGGAGUGACCGCAUGCUUCUGUGAGUCUGCAAUAAGGGAGAAAAUAGUAGGGCGUCCUAACAUCACAGUGGAAGUAAUAUGUGAUAUGAGUAUGUGAGGAAUUUGAUUGGAGGAAUUUGAUGUGUGAUUUUGAUGUAGAAAUUGGAUUUGAGAGGUAUGUGUUUAGGGAUUUUGAUAAGAGGAUUUGAGGACUUUGGAUUUGAGGGAUUUGGAUUUCGAGAAUUUAAAUAUGAGGAAUUUGAUUUAGGGUUUUGGAUUUAAAUAUGAGAAAUUUGAUGUAAGGGUUUAGAGACAACUUAUGAUCGAUUGCUCUGAUACCAUGCUAAAAUAUAAAUAUGGUUUGAAUACUUUACGUUAAGUUUUAUUCUUCUCCGUAAAGAGGUAUAUAUAAGAGUUUACAUGAGUGCUUUACAAGAAAUAGAUACAAUAAUCAAGUAGAAUACUAUCUCGUAAUUAUACAAUCAUUUGUCAAUUAUAUAAAAUAAAAAAGUAAAUCCCUUAUUUAAUCAAGGAAAUAAAUCUCCUUGAUUAAUUAACAGAUUCGUGUCAACAAAGACUGUGGUGCUACCCUUCUAGUAGAAAUUUUUUAUAUAUUUCUAUAAAAUUUGGUCUCGUUUCAAACAAAAAAAAUAAAAGGGUAGAUUUCUUUCCAAAGGUAAGAACUUUUUUUAAUUUUUUUUAAUCCAAGAUGUAAAAAAAAAAAACUCCGUUCAUGAAAUUUGAAUCAGGAAGUCUUUAACAAGUAAAAAUUAUACAAGCGAUUGUCUAAAUUAAUCUACUCUACGAAAAAGAAACAUCAACAAGGAAAGUGACAAUGACACAUUAGCAUAAUACCACGGAAUGAGCAUACAAUGAGUUAUAAGUACUAAACUUUCUUAGCGCUGAAUUUUUUUUAAUUUUUCUCAAUAGAGAGGUGGAGUUAGGAUUUUAUGUGUGGAGGGGAGGGGUCAAUAUAUUAGGAUUUAAAGUUGAUUUCUUUCCCAGUGUUAAGCUUGUAAAUAAAUAAAUAACAGAUUAUCUUUAAUUUCCUAUUUUCUUAAAUAUACUUGUGAAAGAAAGAUUUGAUUUGCUGUUUCUUUUAAUUUUUAUUAAUUAUGUUGGUAGAAUCUAGGAGUAAGUUUGCCAUAUUGCUAAGAAAAGAGUCUUUUAGUUGGAGGGGGAAAUGUAAAUCCCUCUUUCUCUUUAUUGUGGGGGGCCACAAGCAUUAAUUUAAUAUAUAUAUUAUCCUAAGUUGUAUAAUACAAAGACAAUAUAUAUACUAUUUUAGAAUUUUGGGAGGGCAAGGCCCUUGCAGGCCUAAGCACACCUCCACCCCUGGAGAACAAUACAUUCUUUGAGAGUAAAAACGAACAUAAGAGCUAGAAAGGGUCAUCACAUCAAUAGUACAUUUGUUCACCACAUGAUGUUUUACAAAAGAGAGACCCCCACCUUCACGUGAACUCCACCCAAACAUUAUUUAGUCCAAAAUACUACUUUAAUAUCAACCAACAACAUCCAAUCUGUUCCAAGUUCCAGUCCACCAUCUCAACUUCAUCAGCUUGAUCAAAUGCCUUCCAAUUCUAGUAGGGACGCUCGUCCUCAUAAUUACCAGGAGGGUCGUAGCUGCAAAUGACAAAAACCCAAUUGUUGUCACACUUAGCCCUAGCACAACCAAGAUGAACCGAGUUCCUCCAAACCACCCGAGUAUAAUGCCCACAUUCAUCCCCAACACAUUUGUUGGAGCCGUAGUUAGCAGCUGGAUUUUUUUCCAUGUCACCCAAAAUGUGUUGUCCACGUGUUAGGCUUGAAAAUUCGUCACACGAGUGGGGGUAGAGGUGGGCACUGUUCGGUUUGGACCGAUUUUUGCCUCAAAUUAGAACUGAUCCGGUACUAUUUAUCCGGUUUGGUUCAGUUCUGUUUUAAUUAAAAAAAUUCAAAAACUAUCUGGUUCGGUUUGAACCGGUUUCGGUCCGAUUUCGAUUUCGGUUCAGUUUGAACCGGAUUAACAAAAUUAUUUUUUUAAAUUGUUUUUUAAUGCAAUUCUCAACUGAAAUAUUUUUUUUUUUACUUGAAAAUUAACAAAUUAUUCAAUUUCAUAUAAAAAAUAAAUAUUAAAGUUAGAAAAGAUAGAUAUUUUGAUAUUAAACUUGGAUAAAUAUUAGGUUUUUCUUAGUGAAAUUAAAAAUAUAGCAUUAAAUAUAAAUAUAUAUUGAAAUUAUAUAUUUUUUUAAUUUGACCGGUUCGGUUCGAUUUUUGAAGACAUGGAACCGGAUCCAAAACCGGUCCAAAUCGGUUCAGUUCGAUUUUUGACCAGUUGUUGACUUUUUGGUCAACUCGAUUUUUUCGGGUUUGGUUCAGUGCGGUUCGGCUCGGAUUUUUGGUUCGCCGAUUUAAGUGCCCACCCCUAAGUGGGGGCGUGCGAGAAUGUAAAAGUAAAAAGUCCCACAUUAGAAAAUUAGAAAACCUUGCAAGGGUUUAUAAGGAUUUAGAUUAAUUCCCCCGUUGCAAAUUGGUUUUAUGGUGAAAUCUCAACUUCCUUCAAAUAGGACAAGGAAGUGGAAAUAGUAGCACUCAAAAAAAAAAAAUGUACGGUUAUUUAGCCUUAAUAAUGGAUAAUUAGUCCUUUAUUAAUUUUUUGGAUAAACCAAUUAGAAUUUUGUCUAGUUGUAUUUUCAAAAAAAGAGAGAUUGACUAACAAAAAAAAAACACAUUAAGAGAAUGAGAUAAUAUUUCGGUUAGAUUUUACGAAAAUGAAAUUAUAUUAUUCUUUUCUUUUUUUUGUAUUUAUUAUUCAUUCUCUUGUAACCUUUCACAAUAUCAUGUCAAGUGCUAGCUAGUCACAUAAAGGAAUGUUGUGAGUGUGGGAAAGUAUUUGUAUACACCCAUUACAUUUUAUUUUUCUAAUUUCACAAAAGAAAAAAAACACAAGACUUCUCAACAAGCCUCAUGUAGGUGUGCGUGUGCGCACGCAAGCAUACAUACAUUGUCUAGUAGGGGCGCUCGUCCUCGGGCUGGUACAUGGGAUCGUAGCUGCAAACCACAUAGUUCUGUCCAUUGUUGCACUUUGAAAUGCCACAUCCAACCUCGGUGGUUUUGCCCCAUACCACAGCAAGGUAGUGACCACAUUCGUCUUUGACGCAUUUGUUGGACUUUUCGUCAUAGAACUCCUUCUCGGUGACCCAAUACUUGGUGGCAGCUGCGCCGCUCAUGCCGUCACCAGAGGCCAAGUUCUCACCCCAACGCCCCAUCGAGUGCUCCAUGGCGCAGUCGCCAACUCUUUUAUCCGCAUAUUCUUGGGCAUACUGGGCCAAGGUCGUGUUCCAAUUGAGGGGUUUGUUGCCGACCUCUUUACGAGCCUUGUUGUGCUCCUCGACGAAGCCAUCGAUCUCUUCUUUAGAAAUGUUUGCAAAGACAAGAGUGAAGACCAAUGCGACGCAGCAAAUGGCCAAAAGAAGCUUCGUG
RNAcentral lists this long non-coding RNA (13648 nucleotides) under Prunus persica (peach). Its description in RNAcentral is "long non-coding RNA (PPER_LNC008399)". The record is from RNAcentral. Lineage: Eukaryota; Viridiplantae; Streptophyta; Magnoliopsida; Rosales; Rosaceae.